GACGAACGCUGGCGGCGUGCCUAACACAUGCAAGUCGAACGGAGAAUUAGCAAUAAUUCUUAGUGGCGAACGGGUGAGUAACGCGUAGACAACCUACCCUUUAGAUGGGGACAACACCGCGAAAGUGGUGCUAAUACCGAAUAUUGCUUGAGAAGCGCAUGCUUUUCAAACUAAAGAUGGCCUCUAUUUAUAAGCUAUCGCUAAAGAAUGGGCCUGCGUCUGAUUAGCUAGUUGGUGAGAUAAAAGCUCACCAAGGCAACGAUCAGUAGCCGGUCUGAGAGGAUGAACGGCCACACUGGGACUGAGACACGGCCCAGACUCCGACGGGAGGCAGCAGUGGGGAAUCUUCCGCAAUGGACGAAAGUCUGACGGAGCAACGCCGCGUGAGUGAUGAAGGUUUUCGGAUCGUAAAACUCUGUUGUUAAGGACGAAUGUAUAGAUUGUGAAUAAUGGUUUAUAAUGACGGUACUUAACGAGGAAGCCACGGCUAACUACGUGCCAGCCGCCGCGGUAA
RNAcentral lists this ribosomal RNA (514 nucleotides) under uncultured bacterium. RNAcentral's name for it is "partial 16S ribosomal RNA". It matches the Rfam family "Bacterial small subunit ribosomal RNA", at positions 28 to 523 of the family's 1533-position model. The record is from RNAcentral.